CUACGUGCCAGCAGCCGCGGUAAUACGGAAGGUCCAGGCGUUAUCCGGAUUUAUUGGGUUUAAAGGGAGCGUAGGCUGGAGAUUAAGUGUGUUGUGAAAUGUAGACGCUCAACGUCUGACUUGCAGCGCAUACUGGUUUCCUUGAGUACGCACAACGUUGGCGGAAUUCGUCGUGUAGCGGUGAAAUGCUUAGAUAUGACGAAGAACUCCGAUUGCGAAGGCAGCUGACGGGAGCGCAACUGACGCUUAAGCUCGAAGGUGCGGGUAUCAAACAGGAUUAGAUACCCUGGUAGUCCGCACAGUAAACGAUGGAUGCCCGCUGUUGGUACCUGGUAUCAGCGGCUAAGCGAAAGCAUUAAGCAUCCCACCUGGGGAGUACGCCGGCAACGGUGAAACUCAAAGGAAUUGACGGGGGCCCGCACAAGCGGAGGAACAUGUGGUUUAAUUCGAUGAUACGCGAGGAACCUUACCCGGGCUUGAA
This 481-nucleotide ribosomal RNA is filed under the name uncultured bacterium. RNAcentral describes it as "bacterial SSU rRNA". It matches the Rfam family "Bacterial small subunit ribosomal RNA", at positions 501 to 985 of the family's 1533-position model. The record is from RNAcentral.